AUUGAACGCUGGCGGCAUGCCUUACACAUGCAAGUCGAACGGCAGCAUGAUCUAGCUUGCUAGAUUGAUGGCGAGUGGCGAACGGGUGAGUAAUACAUCGGAACGUGCCCUGUAGUGGGGGAUAACUAGUCGAAAGAUUAGCUAAUACCGCAUACGACCUGAGGGUGAAAGUGGGGGACCGCAAGGCCUCAUGCUAUAGGAGCGGCCGACGUCUGAUUAGCUAGUUGGUGGGGUAAAGGCCCACCAAGGCGACGAUCAGUAGCUGGUCUGAGAGGACGAUCAGCCACACUGGGACUGAGACACGGCCCAGACUCCUACGGGAGGCAGCAGUGGGGAAUUUUGGACAAUGGGCGAAAGCCUGAUCCAGCAAUGCCGCGUGUGUGAAGAAGGCCUUCGGGUUGUAAAGCACUUUUGUCCGGAAAGAAAUGGCUCUGGUUAAUACCUGGGGUCGAUGACGGUACCGGAAGAAUAAGGACCGGCUAACUACGUGCCAGCAGCCGCGGUAAUACGUAGGGUCCAAGCGUUAAUCGGAAUUACUGGGCGUAAAGCGUGCGCAGGCGGUUGUGCAAGACCGAUGUGAAAUCCCCGAGCUUAACUUGGGAAUUGCAUUGGUGACUGCACGGCUAGAGUGUGUCAGAGGGGGGUAGAAUUCCACGUGUAGCAGUGAAAUGCGUAGAGAUGUGGAGGAAUACCGAUGGCGAAGGCAGCCCCCUGGGAUAACACUGACGCUCAUGCACGAAAGCGUGGGGAGCAAACAGG
RNAcentral lists this ribosomal RNA (759 nucleotides) under uncultured Burkholderiales bacterium. RNAcentral's name for it is "bacterial SSU rRNA". It matches the Rfam family "Bacterial small subunit ribosomal RNA", at positions 28 to 776 of the family's 1533-position model. The record is from RNAcentral. Lineage: Bacteria; Pseudomonadati; Pseudomonadota; Betaproteobacteria; Burkholderiales.